UACGAAGGGUGCAAGCGUUACUCGGAAUUACUGGGCGUAAAGCGUGCGUAGGUGGUUGUUUAAGUCUGUUGUGAAAGCCCUGGGCUCAACCUGGGAAUUGCAGUGGAUACUGGGCAACUAGAGUGUGGUAGAGGGAUGCGGAAUUUCUGGUGUAGCAGUGAAAUGCGUAGAGAUCAGAAGGAACAUCCGUGGCGAAGGCGGCAUCCUGGGCCAACACUGACACUGAGGCACGAAAGCGUGGGGAGCAAAC
This 250-nucleotide ribosomal RNA is filed under the name uncultured bacterium. RNAcentral's name for it is "partial 16S ribosomal RNA". It matches the Rfam family "Bacterial small subunit ribosomal RNA", at positions 524 to 773 of the family's 1533-position model. The record is from RNAcentral.